CGCAGCAGCUGUCAAGUCCUUUAAGCAAAGUGUAAAUAGCUGUUUGUACCGGUGGACACAGACGUGCUCAAAGCUGGCACAGCAGGAUCUCUCAAGAGCACUUCGCUUUAAUGUUUCCAGGCAAGAGCAAGUAGCAGGUCUCAUCCUGACGUCCUACACACACAGAGAUGCUAAAUGCAUCCAAUCCAAACAGACUCAAUUUGUUGUGUAUUUCUUAGAUGUUGAGAAGAGACUCUGACACAAACAAGCAUCAGAUCCGGUCGGGGGUCUUCUCCCAGGUGUAAGCAGGCUAAAGACCACAAGUACCAUAUUGUGUAACUCUGCAAAGGAAGCAAAUCAGAUCGCCAAGCUGCUAUGGAGGGGAACCACAUAAGAAAGCCACUUGACCCAUAUUGCAUUUUCUAAGAGGAUGAAAUAGACUCUUAUGCUAAAUUGUCAAAAUCUCAGAGUUGCUUAUUACAAUAUAUCUACUUCUAUCAUGGGUAUAAAUGCAGUUAAUUCCUUCAGAUUUUCAACACAUUCAGAUAUAUAGGCAAUUAUAUAAUACAAAAAUAUAUUCAUGUAUAUAUUGUUAUGAGUAUGCUUGCUAUUAAUGCUCCUAUUUUACAUGCUGUUGUAGUGGGUAGCCAUUCCAGUUUUGAUCUGGAAGUUCCAACCCCCAUUGAGGCUUCGGUAACUGUCACGCCUACAAGGUGGGGCUGAGAGAGGAUGCUGAAGACCUGAGAUCUGGAUGGGCCGGCUCUCUUGGUUCCUGGACCCUGGACACUGGAGGUAGACCCAGCAGAGUUCUCCAGAGAACACCGCUGGACUGCACUACAACUUUCCCAGACCCUGUAACCUUUCCCUU
Long non-coding RNA from Peromyscus eremicus (cactus mouse), 847 nucleotides. RefSeq lists it as uncharacterized. The record is from RefSeq and is a predicted model, not a curated record. NCBI's taxonomy places the organism in Eukaryota, Metazoa, Chordata, Mammalia, Rodentia, Cricetidae. The transcript is spliced from 4 exons.